UGUUUGCACUUGUCGGUGAGGGUGAGAACCUUCGAUUAAGGUUCGACUCGAGCGAAAGCGAGAGAACGUUGCCAACGGCAACGGCCCGUAGGGUGAGGAGCGAAGCGACGAAUAAUCCUUCCCCCACCACCA
This 132-nucleotide small RNA is filed under the name Salmonella enterica. RNAcentral's name for it is "RtT sRNA". It matches the Rfam family "RtT RNA". From Rfam's summary of the family: This family represents a bacterial cis-regulatory element known as RtT RNA. The exact function of RtT is unknown although it is thought that it may be involved in changing the cellular response in relation to amino acid starvation. Lineage: Bacteria; Pseudomonadati; Pseudomonadota; Gammaproteobacteria; Enterobacterales; Enterobacteriaceae. The record is from RNAcentral. RNAcentral also lists the same sequence under 2 other names.